Molecule: long non-coding RNA, 1972 nt
Organism: Hypanus sabinus (Atlantic stingray)
Lineage: Eukaryota; Metazoa; Chordata; Chondrichthyes; Myliobatiformes; Dasyatidae
Exons: 3
Source: RefSeq, a predicted model, not a curated record
UGAUGUUUGGUUUAAAGAAUUCACACUUGUUGCACCAUGCUCUGAGCCCAUAAUCUUGAAAUGUUUUCAACACUAUCUCAAGAUUUUGGAGAUGUUCCUUGUCAUCCUUACUGGUAACAAUGAUGUCAUCCGUGUAUACUGCGUGCUUGCGCAGCCUUGCAGCUCUUGGUGCAUAGCUUUCUGCUGGAGUACAGGCGCAGAUGCCACUCAAAAAAUAUGCCUAUUGUGGCAAUACAGCCUUUUGUGAUCGUUUGUGGUGAGAAACACUUUGGACUCUUCUUCCAUCUCACUCUGCAGUUCUUCUAUAUGUGGGAAAUGUUGGAUUUUAAAGGGGGCGAACUGUUGUGAUAGACCACACCAGGAGCACUGAAUCCAAUAUGUGAAAUUGAAACAUAACAAAAUACAGUACAUUAAAGUGUAAAUGAAAAGCUACGUCACCUGAAAGGACCAUUUGUGUCCCUAGAAUUGCUUCCAUGCCUUCUUUUUGUUACUACCAUUGGGCAGGAGGUGCAGAAGCCUUGGUUUCCAUGUCACCAGUUCUGUAACAGUUAUUACCCUACAAAUACCCGGCUCCUGACCUGCUACGAUUAACUUCAUUCACCACUAUUCUGAACUGAUUCUACGGCUUAGAGACUUACCUUAAAGGAAUCUGUACAACUCAUUUUCUCAAAAUGAUUUUAUUUGCACAGUUUGACUUCUAUGUAAAUUGGUGUUUUAUUAGUCUUUGUUUAUCUGUAGUUUUUUGUACAAUUCUACUGUGUUUCUUUUUUCCCUGUAAAUGUCUGGAAGAAAAUGAAUCUCAAGGUUGUAUCUGAUAACAUAGGUACUCUGAUAAUAAAUUUACUUUGAACUUUGGGUAGUAGAAGGUUAAGAAGUAAAAGGGUGAAAUUGUGCAGUUACUGAGAUUUUCAUGUGGAAUGAAAAAAUGUGUUGGUUCAUGGAAUUCUCCCGAAGGCACUUCCUCACAUAAUUUUCCCGUUCCAUCACGUGCAUCACAGCACAUACUGUUUCACUUUUAGCCUGCCCUCCAGCCAGGGACCCAAAUAUCUGCAAUUUGUCAGCUCCAUAAUGGGUAUUAUCCUCCUGACUAUCAAUAACAUCUUCAAAAGGAGAUGCCUCAAAAAGAGGCAACUCAUCAUUAAGGACCUUCACUAUUCUGGAUAUGCCCUUUUCUCAAUACUAUCAUCAGAGAAGAGGUACAGGAGCCUGAAGACACACUCUCAGCAUUUUAGGAACAGCUACCUCCCCUCUGCCUUCAGAUUUCUGAAUGGACUGAAUGAACCCAUGGACACUACCUCACUAUUUUGUCUCUCGUUUUCACUACCCUUCUAAUUUUUUAAAUACAUAUAUUUCUUAUUGUAAUUUAUAGUUUAUUUUAUGUAUUGCUCUGUUAUACUGCCACAAAACAACAUAUCCAUGAAUAUGUCAGAGAUAAUAAACCUGCUUCUGAUUCUGAUUUUGCCUUUUAUCUGCCUACUGUCCUUCCUUGUGAAGGAGUGGCUCAUUUGCAGUUCUUUUAAUCUAAUGGCUUACGCUUGCUGCUCACAAUAUGGCAUUCUCUGCAUUGGAGAAACACGCCUGCUUUCCCAAACUCUCUUCAGUCCACAAGGGGAACUCUGAGCUUUCGGUUGCCCGUCACUUUAACACCAUAUCUUUGUGCCUCCAAGAUUGCUCCAAAGAUGCCCAACUCAGGCUUGAGGAAGCACAUUAUCUUUCACUUGGGCUUAAUGUUGAAUUUGACCAUUUCAGGUAACCACUGUUAUUGCUUUCUGUCUCUCCACUGAUGUGGCUGUACAUUUCAAUUUGUUCCUUCUUUGCUCUUCUGUGUCGAACUGCUGGUUAUUAAUUAUUUCUGUGACAGUUCCAUUUACACACUAUCACAGAUAUUUCCUGUGUUCCCUCUGCCCCUCUCAUUUUCUGCAGCUUAAUACGCUUGUUUUCUCUUUCCUUCCAUUCUGAUGCAGGGUCUUUG